This 461-nucleotide ribosomal RNA is filed under the name uncultured bacterium. RNAcentral's name for it is "bacterial SSU rRNA". It matches the Rfam family "Bacterial small subunit ribosomal RNA", at positions 33 to 507 of the family's 1533-position model. The record is from RNAcentral.
ACGCUGGCGGCGUGCCUAACACAUGCAAGUCGAACGGAGAUGUUGAUUUCGGUUGACGUCUUAGUGGCGAACGGGUGAGUAACGCGUGAACAAUCUGACCUUAAGAGGGGAUAACAACGAGAAAUCGUUGCUAAUACCGCAUAAGACCACAAUGCCGCAUGGCGAAGGGGUCAAAGGAGCAAUCCGCUUAAGGAGGGGUUCGCGUCCCAUUAGGUAGUAGGUGAGGUAACGGCUCACCUAGCCGACGAUGGGUAGCCGAGCUGAGAGGCUGAUCGGCCACACUGGAACUGAGACACGGUCCAGACUCCUACGGGAGGCAGCAGUGGGGAAUAUUGGGCAAUGGGCGCAAGCCUGACCCAGCAACGCCGCGUGAGGGAAGAAGGUUUUCGGAUUGUAAACCUCUGUCGCAGAUGACGAAACAAAUGACGGUAAUCUGUGAGGAAGCCCCGGCUAACUACGUG